Molecule: small nucleolar RNA, 88 nt
Filed under: Saccharomyces mikatae IFO 1815
Lineage: Eukaryota; Fungi; Ascomycota; Saccharomycetes; Saccharomycetales; Saccharomycetaceae
Description: Small nucleolar RNA snR50
Rfam family: Small nucleolar RNA snR50
Source: Rfam by way of RNAcentral
UAGAAUGAUGAAAGAGGUAGCAAAAUGUAACAGAAUUUUCAUGACUGAAACAAACAAGAUUAACCUUUACAGAACCGCUACACUGAUA